UCGCCGGGGAGUAUUAAAUAGUACAUGUGCCUUCCAAGCACGGGGUCUGAAGGAAGAUUCAGUCUGGUGAG
Molecule: transfer RNA, 71 nt
Filed under: Anadara pilula
Lineage: Eukaryota; Metazoa; Mollusca; Bivalvia; Arcoida; Arcidae
Description: tRNA-Gly
Source: RNAcentral